Molecule: long non-coding RNA, 647 nt
Organism: Pseudopipra pipra
Lineage: Eukaryota; Metazoa; Chordata; Aves; Passeriformes; Pipridae
Exons: 3
Source: RefSeq, a predicted model, not a curated record
CCGGCAGUGAGAAAUGAGACUGGAGCAGGAGAAGUUUGUGAGGGCCUGCUUCCCAAAUUCCGGCAGUCACAGGCAUUUUUCUCCUCCACACUGCCUGAGUGUUCUCCAGGAAUGAUUCACUGAACACAGGACAGAUAUUCUAGGAACUGGAAACAAGGAGCCUCUCUUGUAGGGAAAAGUUCUUUUGAUUUCCCAUAGUCCAGGGCUGGAGCAUCUUCUGCUGCUCUCCAAGGAUUCUGCACACACAGAAGCAGUCAUGCUGGCAGGGACUGAGCUCGAAGGCCUGUGUCUUGGCCUGCACCAUGCUGGAUGGCAGCGAGUCGCUGAUCUGAAGGCAAUCACUGAUUUGGUCAAAGCAAAACUAAAAGCGCUCAGUCACGCCAUCUAAUGAAGGAUGGGAAUGGGAGGUGAUUAAAGCUACUACUCAGAGCUAUAACCACAUGGCACAGCUGGAGCAGGACUGAGCUCUAUGGUCUGAAAGGCUUCCUUAAGGUGGUCUGGAAGUAUGUGACACAGGGGCCUGGCUCCAUCAGGACAUGAAGUAAAGCACAGCACCAGAGAAUGAGGACAGGCACAAGAACAGUCCAAAAGAGCAGUGGCAGAAGGGAGUUGGCACGGGGACAUCAGAAAUUUUCAAAAAUCAAUCA